AGAGUUUGAUCCUGGCUCAGAUUGAACGCUGGCGGCAUGCCUUACACAUGCAAGUCGAACGGCAGCGCGGGGCAACCUGGCGGCGAGUGGCGAACGGGUGAGUAAUAUAUCGGAACGUACCCUGGAGUGGGGGAUAACGUAGCGAAAGUUACGCUAAUACCGCAUACGAUCUAAGGAUGAAAGUGGGGGAUUCGCAAGAACCUCAUGCUCCUGGAGCGGCCGAUAUCUGAUUAGCUAGUUGGUGGGGUAAAGGCCUACCAAGGCAUCGAUCAGUAGCUGGUCUGAGAGGACGACCAGCCACACUGGAACUGAGACACGGUCCAGACUCCUACGGGAGGCAGCAGUGGGGAAUUUUGGACAAUGGGCGAAAGCCUGAUCCAGCAAUGCCGCGUGAGUGAAGAAGGCCUUCGGGUUGUAAAGCUCUUUUGUCAGGGAAGAAACGGUGAGGGCUAAUAUCCCUUGCUAAUGACGGUACCUGAAGAAUAAGCACCGGCUAACUACGUGCCAGCAGCCGCGGUAAUACGUAGGGUGCAAGCGUUAAUCGGAAUUACUGGGCGUAAAGCGUGCGCAGGCGGUUUUGUAAGUCUGUCGUGAAAUCCCCGGGCUCAACCUGGGAAUUGCGAUGGAGACUGCAAGGCUAGAAUCUGGCAGAGGGGGGUAGAAUUCCACGUGUAGCAGUGAAAUGCGUAGAGAUGUGGAGGAACACCGAUGGCGAAGGCAGCCCCCUGGGUCAAGAUUGACGCUCAUGCACGAAAGCGUGGGGAGCAAACAGGAUUAGAUACCCUGGUAGUCCACGCCCUAAACGAUGUCUACUAGUUGUCGGGUUUUAAUUAACUUGGUAACGCAGCUAACGCGUGAAGUAGACCGCCUGGGGAGUACAGUCGCAAGAUUAAAACUCAAAGGAAUUGACGG
This 912-nucleotide ribosomal RNA is filed under the name uncultured bacterium. Its description in RNAcentral is "bacterial SSU rRNA". It matches the Rfam family "Bacterial small subunit ribosomal RNA", at positions 8 to 916 of the family's 1533-position model. The record is from RNAcentral.